Molecule: small nucleolar RNA, 130 nt
Organism: Vicugna pacos (alpaca)
Lineage: Eukaryota; Metazoa; Chordata; Mammalia; Artiodactyla; Camelidae
Source: Ensembl
GGGGUGCACUCAGAGCAGGGGACCUGAGGAAAUGACUCCUCUGUUUACAACACACCCAACAGGAAUCUGGGUUCAUUGUGAUGAGGGGCACAAAACUUGAGGCCUUUCUAUGAACACAUACCCUACACGU